RNAcentral lists this ribosomal RNA (253 nucleotides) under uncultured bacterium. RNAcentral describes it as "partial 16S ribosomal RNA". It matches the Rfam family "Bacterial small subunit ribosomal RNA", at positions 524 to 776 of the family's 1533-position model. The record is from RNAcentral.
UACGUAGGGAGCAAGCGUUGUUCGGAUUUACUGGGCGUAAAGGGCGCGUAGGCGGCAUAUUAAGUCAGCUGUGAAAUCUCCGGGCUUAACUCGGAACGGUCAACUGAUACUGCGCGGCUAGAGUGCAGAAGGGGCAACUGGAAUUCUCGGUGUAGCGGUGAAAUGCGUAGAUAUCGAGAGGAACACCUGCGGCGAAGGCGGGUUGCUGGGCUGACACUGACGCUGAUGCGCGAAAGCCAGGGGAGCGAACGGG